RNAcentral lists this long non-coding RNA (223 nucleotides) under Elaeis guineensis (African oil palm). Its description in RNAcentral is "long non-coding RNA (EGUI_LNC046234)". The record is from RNAcentral. Lineage: Eukaryota; Viridiplantae; Streptophyta; Magnoliopsida; Arecales; Arecaceae.
GUCGGUGUAAUCUGAUGUAUUAUAAUUGAAAAUCUUUUUAGUGGAUUGAUUUUCCAAGUUGAGACUUGGAGAGUGGAUGUAGGUGCAAAGUUAGCAUCGAACCACUAUAAAUUCUUAGUGUUUGCUAUGCUUGCAUAUUUUCUUUUCCUUAUUAUACUCUAUACUUGUUCAUUUGUUAAUUAUGUUUGAUCUUUUGUUAUUAUUAAUUAACUCACCUCACUCA